CUUUGUCAAGCAUCUUCAAAUUGAUUGUCUGGACAAAGAUCUACAGGCGGUGUCGUUGGAUAACUGAUCGAAGUUUAUAAUGAUGUCCUAUUUUUCAGACGAAAUGGACAAGAUUGACACAGCCGUCCAGAUUGAAGGUAUCGUCGGUGCCGAGGAAUAUCAUUCCACAGAUAAUCGUCUCAGCAAUCUCUUUGAGAAGUGAUUCAUGCCCUCUUCUUCUUUUAUUCUU
This 229-nucleotide long non-coding RNA is filed under the name Elaeis guineensis (African oil palm). Its description in RNAcentral is "long non-coding RNA (EGUI_LNC071487)". The record is from RNAcentral. Lineage: Eukaryota; Viridiplantae; Streptophyta; Magnoliopsida; Arecales; Arecaceae.